GGCUGCGAGGGCGAUCUGAAACAACAUCCGUUAUCCCCUUGAUUUCCAGGGUUGAUUUGGUUGAUCCGGCUGGCUGGACAGGUGUCCCCUUCCUCCCUCAAUACUCCAUGUGCGUUCCUCCUAAAGCUGUGCUGCAUGCUUGAAGAGGACAGCGACCCCAGUAGGGGACCAUUUCUUGGUCAAGGUAAUAUGAGGAGCUGCACUUCCGGUUAGAACCUCCAAACAAGCUCUCAAGAAAAAGAUACAGUGUAGCAUCUAAUCAGUUAUUAUAGGUGUCUAAACAUGUGGAAGAAAAUUU
Molecule: small nuclear RNA, 298 nt
Filed under: Octodon degus (degu)
Lineage: Eukaryota; Metazoa; Chordata; Mammalia; Rodentia; Octodontidae
Description: 7SK RNA (ENSODEG00000024096.1)
Rfam family: 7SK RNA
About the family: 7SK was discovered as an abundant small nuclear RNA in the mid-70s but a possible function has only recently been suggested. Two independent studies have found that 7SK RNA binds the CDK9/cyclin T complex (known as elongation factor P-TEFb).
Source: Rfam by way of RNAcentral